UGCAUCUAUACUUCCCUCUUACCAUCCCCUCCCCUUCGUUAAUGAAAUUCCUGUCUAAGAGGUGAAAGAUUCCCCACGGGCUUGCAAAUAAAAAGCCAGUGUGGGAGCAAUCUGUGGGAAGAUGCAUGCAGAGUGUGAUGGAGAGUUCAGGGGCUCGUGUGACAAUCCGUGCAAAUGUUUCUAAAGAAUGUGAUUUCCAUGACAACAAUGACCUUUCUGCAUUGUCUACUCCUGUGAUCCAGGACAGUGCCUGGCUCUUGUGGAAUUCCAGAAUCCCACAUGUUUGCCUCUGCCUCUGCCUGAGAGCUCCAGCUACUGCCUGGGUUAUGUAAACUAAAGACAUAUGGCUGAGAUGGUAAUUCUCACAUAGAUCUUUUUCUCCUGGUGAGUAACAAACUUCAAAUUACCACCCACAGUUGAUCAGGGAACACUGAAAAAUGACAACCAGUUCUGGUAUUCACCCAGGGCACACCCAUCCUGCCACACUGGAAGUUAAGAUAUUGAACUUUCUGUAUGAGUUGUUCAUAGCUGCUGCCCUAAAGGACAUGAACAGACACUUCUCAAAAGAAAACAUUCAUGCGGCCAACAAACAUGAAAA
Non-coding RNA from Macaca mulatta (Rhesus monkey), 598 nucleotides. The record is from RefSeq and is a predicted model, not a curated record. NCBI's taxonomy places the organism in Eukaryota, Metazoa, Chordata, Mammalia, Primates, Cercopithecidae.